Molecule: RNA transcript, 2297 nt
Organism: Gossypium raimondii (Peruvian cotton)
Lineage: Eukaryota; Viridiplantae; Streptophyta; Magnoliopsida; Malvales; Malvaceae
Gene name: chromatin structure-remodeling complex protein SYD-like
Exons: 5
Source: RefSeq, a predicted model, not a curated record
CCAAAUCGGUGGGCCCACCACCAAACAUUAGUUUGGUUGGCUGUAUUGGUAUUACGGCCUGAAUCCAUUCCCUCCCUAUUACAGGAAAACGCUGAAUAGCCAUUCAUUGCCCACAUAUCGGAUUGGCUAUUCCAUCCGACUCUCUUUUUCCAUUUUCCAAUUUUUGCCCUCCUUCAUCUUCUCCUUCACUUUCUUGCCAUAUUUCAGAUUUUCUCAUUCAUCUUCUCCCACAGAUAUGUAAUUUUUUCUUCUUCUGUUCCCAUAUUUCAAGUAAUUUUUUUCUUUGAUUUUUCCAUUCUUUUUAACAUUUCUAUUCUGUGUUUUUUGUCGGUUUUUUAGCCAUGGUUCUCGAGGCUACUAUGAUAUGCAUUGAUAACUCAGAAUGGAUGCGAAACGACGAUUAUUCUCUGUCUCGAUUUGAAGCACAAGCAAGAGCUCAUAGGCUAGGCCAGAAGAAGGAUGUACUUGUUUUACGUUUUGAAACAGUUCAAAUUGUUGAAGAACAAGUCAGGGCUUCUGCUGAACACAAAUUGGCAGUUGCUAAUCAGAGUAUCACUGUCGGUUUCUUCGAUAAUAAUACAAGCUCAUGGUGACAAAUUUGCUGCGAAAAGAAUGAGAAGGCUGACCCAAAGGAGAGCUGUUGAUUAUACUAGUACUGUUGUGCGAUAUAUGCAGGAACUACAGUUCCAUCAAACACCACUACUGCAAUUCUUGCUGCUCCCAAUUUGUCGAAUCCCAUGGCUACAGUUGUUGGUGCUGCUUCAUACCCAUUGUCCAAUCCCAUAGUUUCAAUGGUAGACGGUGUAUCCUCCAAGGCAUUUGAUGAAGUACUGAAAGCAACACCACCUGCUUUGUCAGCAUUUUUGGCUGGCUUGCCUUCUAUCGAGGGUAAUCUUUCAAACUCCUACUGCAGUUGUGCAUGCUGCAAUAUCUAAUGCUGAUGGAUAUUAACCUAUAAUCUGUAGUUGAAUUUGAAUUAUGAUCCAAAAUGCAACAUAUCAAUGAUGAAAUACGGGGAUGCAUCUGCUUGAAUUUCUCUGUCUAGUUGGCCUUCUAAGUCCCUUCUAAUCUGGUAUCCUUGGAAAAUUAUUUGUUUUGCACUCUAGGCAUUUUAAUAUCGUAUUAGAAUAACUAGUUUAUAACUUUGGAGUAAUGAUUCAUUGUAAUUUUACCCAUUUUUAUAUAUUUCUUUAAUUUUUUAAUUCAUCACAAGGUUCAUGCCAUAGGGGCAAAGCUAGAAUAAAAAAAUAAAAAAGAACCUCAUUGAGGAAGAAAAUUCAGAGAAUAAGGUAAGAAAACCAAAAAAUAUAGCAACUGAGAGAAUAUACAGAGCUAUGUUUCUCCGACUCUUCAUUUUGCUUGAAGUAUCCCUUUUUUAUACCCCUGUCAGAGUCUUCAUUUUUCUUAAAGUAUCUGGUUUCAACACCCAUGCCCGACGAUGAAAGAACCUCUUUGAGAAAGUUAUACAAUAGAUUUUGUUGGAAAAUAUUUGAAGUGAAAAUUUUCAUCAUAGUUUCUGUCAAGAAUACAUUAAAUGGUAUAUGUACAUGUCCACACACAAAACCAUGUUACUUGGGUUCGGGGAAAGUGUCGAAUAAGGAUAUGGGUAUGUUUGGGAUGUGAUCCUUGUUUGAUACCCGUGUGGAUGCAUGUUUGGCCAUCGGUAUGGGAUAUGAUCCUUAAAGGAUUCUUCAAAUAUACAGAAAAACUUAGAGAAAACUGAAUAUUUCCAUAUCUGACACAUAUUCGUAUCUUGAUAUCCUUAUUUUUCAGGGUUUGUUCUUAUUUGAAUAGCCUUUGUUGUAGCUAUUUGCAAAAUCCUGGUGAUGAACACCUAAGCCUUCAGGUGACAGGGAUAGAUCCCUGGCCCUAAGGAACUCCCUUACCUAUGGUGGGAUAUAUCAUAUAUCCAACUGGCUUGAACACCAUAUAAUUUUAAAGAAAGCGUAGCUAACAUCAUGUAUUGAAAUGUAGCAAAUGAGAAGUCACCGUAGCUAGAUGAUGGUGAUUCAGGAUUUUCUCCCCGUGAUGAUGAUGGUGGUGGAGGUGGCGGGGGAGGUGGUGGGGGAAACUGGUCAGGUGAAUUCUUCCUUUUCGGAUUCCUCGCGUUUCUAGGCUUCCUAAAGGAUAAAGAAAGCGAAGAAGAUUACCGGGACAACCGAACAAAGAUGAUGAGAGAUUCUCUACAUAUUGAUAACAUUUUUAAAACCUAUAUUGCAUGUUGUUCUUCAUGUUAUAUACUUUUGAGAACCCAUUGCAUAUCGUUCUUCAUGAUAUAUUUCUAUUUUUGAAACCAA